This 87-nucleotide transfer RNA is filed under the name Bacilli bacterium. Its description in RNAcentral is "tRNA-Gly". Lineage: Bacteria; Bacillati; Bacillota; Bacilli. The record is from RNAcentral.
GGUGAAUUUGGGUAGUGAAACCGACCAUGGUGGUAGACCCCUGCGCUGCCAGCGCAGGGGUCAGGGGUUCAAAUCCCCUGUUCUCCU